This is a long non-coding RNA of Myotis daubentonii (Daubenton's bat), 1496 nucleotides long. RefSeq lists it as uncharacterized. NCBI's taxonomy places the organism in Eukaryota, Metazoa, Chordata, Mammalia, Chiroptera, Vespertilionidae. The record is from RefSeq and is a predicted model, not a curated record.
GAAGGGGCCGGCGGGAGCUGCUCUGGGCUCGGCGGUCGCCGCGCCCGCAGUCUGGAGGCGCCCAGGAGCGGCCGGGCGCCCCCCGCGGGAGCCCGCAGCCACCCGCCGCGCGCAUCCAGCCGCGCUCCUCCGCCCCGCACGCUGCGCCCCGGGGCUCCGCGGACCCUGCGUCGCCGCUGAUUCGGAGCUGGUGCAGCGCGGGCUGGCCGGCGGGGCGGCGAGGCGAGGGCCCGGCCCGCCUCCCCUGCGCCCGCCCCGGCUUCUCCCCCUGGCGGCGGAGCCUCGGCGGCCGCCGGCCACACCGGGCGCGCUGGAGCCCGAGCCGAGCCGAGCCCGAGCCGCUGCCGCCGCGCGCGGCUCCCAGGCUCCCUCCCUGCGCGCCGGCCGGGGUGUCGGGGGGCGGCGGGCCGGAGGGGCGAGGGCGGGCGAGGGGCGCGCACGGGGAUUGGCACCGAAGAUCGGACCCUCAGCCGCGAGGGGAGCCCAUACAGGAGCGCUGCACCCCAACUGAGGAGCACGUGGCGGAAGGAAGAGGAGUGGACCCCUGGCCAUUUGUUUACUAUUUAUCCUCCCAUCGGCAGCUGUACUUUUCUACUCGCUGGAAGCAAGACGCCUAAGCUGAGGUCCAAUUUCUCCAAAAGCUGGAAGCAAAGAGGGCCAGUGAUGAGGGGGCGAGGGGAUGUACCCCAAAGGGGCCUGAAACUCGAAAAACCUCUGCAAGAACAGGGGUGACUGGAGGUUCAGGACCCCAGCUAAGGUGAAACGGAAAUUCAACUUUGCCCCUCUCCUCUUGCCAUCCGUCCCCACCCCCACCCCCAACUCUAAGGAAGCUAACAGGUCUUUUGUUUUUGUGUUGUGUCGCCUUUGGAAAAUUUGCAUUGAGUAUGACAACAGAAAAUUACUACUGUUUACUCAAAGUGUAAGGGGACUGCAGAAAGGGAAAAAAAACCAACAACAAUAUAGUCUUUACUUUUUCUCCUCGUGUGUGUGUGUGUGUGUGUGUGUGUGUGUGUGUGUGUGUGUGUGUGUAGUUGUUAGGUUCAGGGCUUGAACUGCAAAACCUCCGUUUGUAACAAUAAGAAUUGCAGAGCCGCCUCGGUGUAUUUUUAGAAGCUGCACUUUCUUGAGUUCCUUUCACACAAGGCUUGCUCUCUCAUUAAGCCCCCAUAAAUAAUUGUAUUUACAAAGAAGGGAACUAUGGUAGCAGGAGGGCGAUUGCUAAGAUCUCCAUCUCGCUAGCCUGGAACACACUUUACAGUGAAGUUCCUGGAAAGUGACUGUGGGCUGAGAAUUCAGCUUUUUCCUAAAAGCUCUGUUAGGUCCUCCCUGUCAAAUGUCUAUGAAUAAAGCACACUGGGAAAAUCCUGACAUCCGUGCAGUCUUAUUUUAUCUUACACAGUGGCGGAUUCUACUUUCAAGCCCUGGUAACAAAUACGUCAACUGUGCUGUAUUUUGGUGUGGGUUUUCUAAAUAAAGGAGAGUCGCCCAUGUAUUCA